RNAcentral lists this ribosomal RNA (440 nucleotides) under uncultured bacterium. RNAcentral describes it as "partial 16S ribosomal RNA". It matches the Rfam family "Bacterial small subunit ribosomal RNA", at positions 338 to 795 of the family's 1533-position model. The record is from RNAcentral.
CCUACGUGGGGCAGCAGUGGGGGAUAUUGCACAAUGGGGGAAACCCUGAUGCAGCGACGCCGCGUGUGGGAAGACGGUCCUCUGGAUUGUAAACCACUGUCCCCAGGGACGAAGAUGACGGUACCUGGGGAGGAAGCUCCGGCUAACUACGUGCCAGCAGCCGCGGUAAUACGUAGGGAGCGAGCGUUGUCCGGAAUUACUGGGUGAAAGGGGAGCGUAGGCGGGACUGCAAGUUUGGUGUCAAAUCUUCGGGCUCAACCGGUAGCCGCACUCAAAACUGCAGUUCUUGAGUGAAGUAGAGGCAGGCGGAAUUCCUAGUGUAGCGGUGAAAUGCGUAGAUAUUAGGAGGAACACCAGUGGCGAAGGCGGCCUGCUGGGCUUUUACUGACGCUGAGGCUCGAAAGUGUGGGGAGCAAACAGGAUUAGAUACCCCUGUAGUC